Long non-coding RNA from Patella vulgata (common limpet), 1849 nucleotides. RefSeq lists it as uncharacterized. NCBI's taxonomy places the organism in Eukaryota, Metazoa, Mollusca, Gastropoda, Patellidae. The record is from RefSeq and is a predicted model, not a curated record. The transcript has 2 exons.
GAAAAAUCGAGGUGAGAUAAACGUUCCCUCAUAGCACACUGCAUGAUGUAUAUCCAUUUCCAUUAUCCCGGCAGGUGGAUAAGGUUGAUGAUUGCUUGGAGAUGGAAGUAAAAGAUGAUCUACUGAAGGAUACCAGUACCAACCACCGUGUAUUUCGUCGCCCAGUUUUACUCAUCGCCAUCUUAAUUAUAGCAGUCGCCAUCUUUAUUUUGUGUCCCUUUCUACAGCUGGCCACAGAAUCUCACAAAGAGUCGUCAAGUGAGGAUAAUGACACGUGGAUUACGGAACGAAGAGACGCGGGAAUGACGGGUAAUUUUGUGCAGAUAGACAAUUUGUGGGAUGGGCAGCCGCUUUAGAAUUGCCCGUUAAAAAAGUUAUUUUAAACCUGAUAAACACAAUUUCCUAUCUCUUUAUAAUACAGUGCUCGACAAUCUGUGACGAAAUCGCGCAAUUUCGAUCUAAGCAGCUAAUAACUGUGAAACGAAAUCCCCUUUUGCGCAGCGAACCCUUUAAUUAAGAACCUAUAUAUCAAACACUGAUCUGUCAUUAAUAGAGGAUUAAGUGUUAACUUUUUUCUGACGAUAAAUUAUAGUGUGUGGUUGAUCUUUGUCAAAACUUAUCUGUUUAAAAUCCGACAAUAAAUUAGGACUUGAGCAUCAUGUCGGAUAGAUUAUUGGUAAACGCAUAAAGUGCGAGGCCCCCCACCCAUUUGUGAUUUCAGCUGACAGUAGUGUGUUACACCAGUGUAUAUAAAACAAGGAUGAUGUAUGGUCAAUGUCAACUCUGUUACCAACACAGAAUUAUGGCGAUGAUAAAACCUCAUGUCUUCAUUGGUUACGGUCUCCGACUAGUAAUCCACUGCCAUUGACUUCAAUGUUAAAUUUAUGUCAUGGUAUUGAACAUUCUGAUGAUCUUGCUCUUUUAUAAUUUAUAACCCCAAAGAGCCCAAUGCUGACUGGGGUUGACCAUCUCGAUUUUUUGCUACGACUGUAUAAAUGAACCUAUAGCCUGUGACGUCAUUUAUGUAUGUGAUUUCUGUAAUCGUUUACUUCCUGGUCCGUUCGCCUCCAAAGUCAUAACUAAUUACAAAAACCUCCAGGAGAACCAACGUCCUAUACGUUGCCACCGGAAAAGCCAGGAAGUGGGGACUAAGGAAGUAAGUCUGUCUUCGUGCUCACAGGCAAAUCGACAUAAUUUCAAAACAAGUUCCCGCAAAUUGAAUAGCAUAAUUUAUGACAUAUCAUUAUUGAGGCGAUGUUUAUUAAUUUCAAAUUCUUUUUCGUAUUUUGUAAUAUAUUCUUUUGUUAUUCAGAUAAACCCUAAGAAACACAUUUCAUUGAUAUUGAAUCUCCCGUUUGUAUAUUUACGAAUCGAAUCCCCCUUUUGAUUGGGUUGAGAAGUAUUUCAUUGAUAUUGAAUCGUCUGUUUGAAUAGGUUUGAAUUAUACGGUGCACAAUUAAUCCAUUGAUAUUGAAUUGCACUAUCGAAUAUUUUCGAAUAAUGGGUUGUAAAAAAAAUCAGACACGAGAUGAUCGCAAUCCUUAUAGUGUUAUUGUUUGUUUUCAUUUCAUUUACAUUAAUCGAAACAAUUAGUUAUGUGAAUAAACAUUCAUUGGAGAGGACAUUUCUGUUAUUCGGGAAUCCAUGUCAUUAUUUAGAUUUUAUCUCACACCCAUUUAAUGGUUACAAAACCCGGAAGAAGACUUUAAAUUUAAUUUCUAAUCACUUUGAUUGUAAAGUCAACUUUACUGACCGGUGUUUCUUUGAAUUUAUUAAAAUUAUUAUAUUUAAAAACUGUGUUUUAAAUUAACUUCUAUUUAUUAUCUAGCAUUAAAAUAGUUUCAAAACA